GUAGGGAAUAUUGCACAAUGGAGGAAACUCUGAUGCAGCGACGCCGCGUGAGUGUUGAAGGCCUUCGGGUCGUAAAGCUCUGUCGCAGGGGAAUAACACAAUGAAGGUACCCUGUAAGAAAGGUUCGGCUAACUUCGUGCCAGCAGCCGCGGUAAGACGAGGGAUCCUAGCGUUGUUCGGAAUCAUUGGGCGUAAAGCGGAUGUGGGUGGCUAUGUAUGUCAGAUGUGAAAGCCUGGGGCUCAACGCCAGAAGUGCAUUUGAUACUGCGUAGCUUGAGUGUCGGAGAGGUUACUAGAAUUGUUGGUGUAGUGGUGAAAUACGUAGAUAUCAACAGGAAUACCGGAGGCGAAGGCGGGUAACUGGCCGAACACUGACACUGAGAUCCGAAAGCGUGGGGAUCAAACAGGAUUAGAAACCCUGGUAGUCC
RNAcentral lists this ribosomal RNA (428 nucleotides) under uncultured bacterium. RNAcentral describes it as "partial 16S ribosomal RNA". It matches the Rfam family "Bacterial small subunit ribosomal RNA", at positions 354 to 796 of the family's 1533-position model. The record is from RNAcentral.